UUUUUUUUAAGUUGCAGUGGUACAUCGAAUACUUAUCCAGCUUCUGGUCUAUAACUCCAUGCAAUAAUAUAUCAGCUGCGUAUAUCAUUUGUGUCUUCACAAUCAGGAGUUACGGCUAUUCUUCUGUGCUAAGGACAAUGAAUCACUUGAUUUCAUUUGUUUCUUCUAUUUUUCAAAGCAAAUAGUACACAUUUCUGCUAAACUGAUGUGAGUCUUGUCUUCUAGGUUAACUCUAAUUCUUGAACUAAUAACAAAGUCAGCAAGAUUAUGUAGCACGCAAGUGAUGUCAAAUGCUCAAAUCGGCAUUUGGUUCUAGACUUAACCACAUUUGUGUACAUCUGGCCUCCAUAUUUUGGAAUGGACGCCUCAAGCAUGGGUUCAUGUGCUUCUGACUAUUCUAUUUGGACAUUUAGAACAAAGAACAUGUUGAUUAAAUCCUAUUUCCUGAUAACAUCUUUUGCCUUAUCAAUUUCCCUCGAUAAUUUGUAGGAAAUGAACUUCCAUCCGACUUGAUACAGACCUUAAUUAGAUGGGUCCCGAGUACUGAUGAGGAGCUCAGGCUUCGACUAUAUACUGGGGAACUCUCACAGCUUGGUCCUGCAGAGCAGUUCUUAAAAGCAAUCUUCGACAUUCCUUAUAUCUAUGAGCGCCUGGACGCAUUACUUUUCAUGGCUGGUUUACCAGAGGAAACUUCAAAUGUAAAGCAAUCUUUUGCCACCUUAGAGGUAAUAGCAUUACCAUUAUGACCUAUUUGGCUUCCACACUAUAUUCAGUUCUGUUGUAUGACUUGUAUCAGUCUUGUUUGAUGCUCUGUAGUCCUUUAACCGAUGAACAUUUUUAUCAAGUAAUAAUAGAGAUUAUCGUAGUGUAGAUGUUACCACUCUUCCUGCACCUUGAUGUUUCUACCGAUCUUCUUAUCUCUGCUAUCUUGGCAUUUAAAUCCUGAUCAGAUGGCUUGUGAGGAGCUUAAAAACAGCCGUCUAUUCUUGAAGUUACUAGAAGCUGUACUUAAAACAGGGAAUCGGAUGAAUGUUGGCACGUUCAGAGGAGGAGCUCAAGCGUUCAAACUAGACACCCUGCUCAAGCUUUCCGACGUCAAAGGAACUGAUGGGAAGAUAACGCUGCUGCAUUUUGUUGUUCAAGAGAUGAUCCAUUCUGAAGGUGUCCGUUCUGCACGGGCUGCAAAGGAGCAGACGGGCAGCGUAUCCAGUGUGGACAACAAUGAUCUUAUUGAAGAGGAAUAUAAACAACUAGGUCUGCAGGCUGUGUCCAGUUUAGGAGAUGAACUUCAAAAUGUCAGGAAUGCAGCAAUCCUUGAUGCAGAUCAGUUGGCUAUGUCGGUAGCAAGUGUCGUCCACAGGCUUGGCAAAACCAAAGAAUUCUUGAACACAAGCAUGAAAAGUCUGGAUGAAGAUAGUGGGUUUCACCGCAAGCUUGUGCAUUUCGUGGAGCAGUCUCAAACUGAUGUUACUUUCUUGCUAGAGGAAGAGAAGAAAAUACGGUCCUUGGUAAAGAGCACUGUCGAUUAUUUCCAUGGGAGGACAGGGAAGGAUGAGGGCCUUCGGUUAUUUGUCGUAGUGCGGGAUUUUCUCGCAAUGCUUGACAAGGUCUGCAAUGAGGUGAAAGAAGCAUCAAAAGUAACUCCAAAGAAAACGAAGACUGAAGUUACUCUGCCUUCCCACACACCCAGGUCUUUUCAAGAUCCCCGGCGUAGUUCCCACACACCCAGGUCUUCUCAAGAUCCCCGGCAUAACCUUUUUCCGGCAAUUCAAAACCGGAGGGCAGAUAGUUCAAGCUCUAGUUCUGAGGAGGGAAGUUAACUCUAAACGAAGGUACUCUGCCUACCUUUUCCUUCCAGCGCUUGGAGGUUUGCCCUUUGAAAACAUUAGUAAGAAGAGAUGGAAAACCGGAGCUAAAGAAAAAGCAAGAGAUGGAAAUUGACGAUAAAGCGAACUCUGGCUUUGGUCACUUGUUGCAGCAACAGAAUAAAAUUGCUGAAGGAAGGCAUUCAUCUUCCAUAACGUCCUUGACAGGCAAUUGUUGCACUUUGGCUCCUAUCAAACAAGCAAAGGUGAUAUUCACGAUCAAGAUGGAGAAGUCGCAACGGAAGCCGUCGAAAGGGGCGGCGAAGAAAACUGACCCCUUAGUUAGGGCGGGCGUGCAGAACAGGGAGGGAGGAAGAAGCAGCAGGCUGGCUGACUGACUGUGACACUGCCUGCUGUUUUUUCGCUUAGGAUUUGUACCAUCACAGAAAGGAGAGGAAUAAAUAUAGUAUUCUUUUAGGGGAAUAAAUGCAGCAUUAGAAAGAAAGAGAUGCACCACACAGGCUCAUAAACAUGAUAAUACCUUUGCAAAGAGCAAAGCUGUAAAUUGUCAUCCUUUCAACUGAAACAUCCUGUGUGUUCGCGUCAUGUGAUUAUAUACUCUGGGCGACUUGGUGUGCCUUUUGCAAUGUGGCGUGAGACCUAGUACCAGAUUCGUGCUGCUGUGCUGUGGUCGAUCUGUACCUACCGUUUCUGCACCGUCUGGAUAGUCAGGGCACUCAAAACAAUGUGCAGCGCUGCUAUAUUAGGAGUGAUAAUUGUUUCGUCUCCCGUGCCAUUUCUUUACAGAAUCCUUUUUUAUCCCAGGUAUUACUAGAUCGCAAGUAUUUCCCGCCAAAUGUCUUGCUCGUGAAAAACAUCGCCACACAUAGUCCACUACUCCCCGCCAAAAUUCCAUUAUCCCUGACUCGAGCCGUAGCACACCUACGUAUUGUAAAGACGAGAGCAUCCUUAGUCUAACAGCUUCGCAGAUUAAUUUUAGUAAGGAUUUCGCAGUUAUAUCGAGUUCUCUAACCAUGAAAGAAUUGGGCAAGAAUAGACGAUGGAAAUUUUCGACCAAGAACAGAGUGGUAGAAAUUGGCAAGUAAGCAAUCCAUAGGUGCAACUUUUAUAUAACGUACUAACAACGAAUUACAAAGGAUGCAACCAUUGUCCACGGCUAGUUUAGCACCGGUACAAGCACACAGAUUCAGAAACUAAUAGCAGUACUACCAUCCUAGAAGUAAAACGCAACACCUAGGCAACAUUUAACUGAACACGCUACUACACAGAACUGGAUACAGCCGAGCACCCACGACCACCGAGGAGGAGUCGUCAUCUAG
Molecule: long non-coding RNA, 3145 nt
Filed under: Triticum aestivum (bread wheat)
Lineage: Eukaryota; Viridiplantae; Streptophyta; Magnoliopsida; Poales; Poaceae
Description: long non-coding RNA (TAES_LNC023946)
Source: RNAcentral